Molecule: RNA transcript, 4811 nt
Organism: Scylla paramamosain (green mud crab)
Lineage: Eukaryota; Metazoa; Arthropoda; Malacostraca; Decapoda; Portunidae
Exons: 11
Source: RefSeq, a predicted model, not a curated record
GGGAAGCAACCCAGCCUCAGUGUUAUAUUGCAAGUCGAGGGGGAGGGUUGUGUGCAAAUCCGCUCCGAUGCGAAUCUAUUUGACCUGUGUCCGUGACCUUGCAUGGUGUCCGUGGCGAUAAAUAGGUGUGUUCUAGUGACCUUAAGGUGCGGAGAGGCGCGAAAGGCGUUAUGGAUACGGAAUUAAGGAAAUACUGGGGACAAAACACCAGACACAUAGGAGUUCCAUUACCCUUAUGAUGCAGCCAAGGGGACUGACGCCACCACCACCACCACCACCACCACCACCACCGCCACAACAAGGGUUAUUCAAGUGGGGAACAUGCUUCAGGUGUUGCCCCAAGAUGCCUCAGCCCCGCAGCCCCACUCCGCCAUGAUAGUGCAGGCAGGGAAUGUCAUACAGAUUGUUCCAGCUGACAACAUGCAGGUGUUAGGGGCAGAAGUUGUUGGAGUUGGUGGGAUCAUGCAAGUGGUCGGGGUCCCAGGCUCUCCCAAACCAGCUCCCCAUCUGUGCCUAUGCAGUGUUUGGCCAGCCACUAGAGGCCACGUCAGAGGUGCCUGUGGUGGGGUCGCCAGUUCCGGAGUACGAGGUGGAGGAGGAAGAGGAAGAGGAGGACGAGGAGGAGGCACGGAUGAGGAAGAAGAAAAGAUCAUUAGCUGUAGCUCUCCCUCCAGCUGAUAAGGGGAUAUUAAUGAGGCCUUCCUACAGGUACUCUCCCAGCCGUGUCACAGCUGAUGAUGAUGAUGAUGAUGAUGAUGCCAUGCCCACCCCCAGCCUGAGCCACCCUCCACCCACCCCAGCCCUCACCAAGCCUCCUUCAGUACCCCUCCACACCACCACCACCACCACCAGCGACGCAACAGCCUCAUCUACCUCAGCCGGCCCACCCCCUGGCCCGACCCCCUCCCUGACAGUGGCCCCCCCACGGCAGGCAAGAAGAAGAAGGAGGAGAAAGUAUCAAUAAUCGUACAGAUUCGCGACGAGGAAUCCAGACUGAAACAGGCGCUGGGUUUAAAGAACAUAAUUUUCAACCCUUACGGUCCUGGCCUGGCCCCGAUUACCAAGCUGCUGGACACCCCUGAGGAGCUGAAGCGUUUUGAGCUCAAGGGCUGCACCAUGAAGGUCCGGCCGGAGGAGAACGAGGCUCGGCUGAACAGAAACAAAGAACGGGGGCGCAGGGACAGGCCGGAGAGGGUCGACAGAAUGGACCGCCCCAGGGCAAAGGAGAAGGACAGACGCACGGACGCACAGGCCACGCAGGUCCGCUCCAUCCACCCACCCGUGCACAGAAAUGCUGGUAUCUCCACGUUGACAACUGGCCAGAGGAAGUAAGGACAGUACCUUGUGUCCCUGCCUCUGCUACCCCACCCCCUGCCCCGCCCCCUGCCCCAGCCCCCGCACACAAGUCGGCCAAGUCCAAGUGGGACUCUGACACAGAAGAGCAAGUGGACGGACAGAAGUGAGGGGAGAGAGAGAGGAGGAAGAGAAGGAGGAGAGGAAGGAAAAUAAAAAUAUAAUCAAGAAUUUGGAGGAAGAGGAAGACCAGGAGGUACAGGUGAAGGAAGAGGAGGAAGAGGAAUAGACUAUCCCAGAGAAGAUGAAGGAAGAGGAGGAAGAGGAGGAGGAGGAGGAGGAGGAAGAGAAGGAAGAGUGAGGCAAAGGUCUUCCCCGAUUGUUUGACCGAAGAAUACGAAGCUUUCCUUAUGAUGGUGGAUGGAGGAGGAGGAGGAGGAGGAGGAGGAGGAGGAGGAGGAGAGAAGAAAGAGGAGGAAGAGGAAGAGGAGGAGGAGGAAGGAAGAUGCAAGAGAGAGGUCACAUCACUAUAUAAAGAAGAGGAGGAAGACUACAUGAAAAUUGAAGAAGAGGAGGAGGAAAGAAGAAGAAAGAGGAUGAGAGAGGAGGAGGAGGAAGAGGAAGAGGAGAAGAAAGAACAGAAGACCCUGGAGAAGAUGAAGAAGAAGAGGAAGAAGCAAAUGAAGGAGAAGAGGAGGCAGAAGAAACUGGAAAAGAAGGCAAAGAAGAAGAGGAAGGAGAAAGAGAGGAAGAGGGUCAAGAGGAGGAGGAAGAGCAGUGAUAGUUCAGUACAAAUGGAGGAGGAGGAGAAGGAGGAGAGAAGACUUACAAGAGAUAAGAGGAAGAGGAAAUAAGAAUGGACUGCAAUAAGUGGCAGAGAGGAGGAGGAGGAGGACGAUAAACGCAUCACCUCGAGGAAGAAGGAGGAGGAGGAGGAGGAGGAAGAGGAAGAGGAACAAGAAGAGGGUAGAAGAUUCAGCAGACACUCGGAUAAUGGUGAAAGCCCCUCUUAUACUCCACCAAGAAGACUGCAAGAACAGGAGAAGGAAGAGGAGGAAGAGGAAGAAGAGGAGGAGGAAGAGGAGCCACUUUCCCCAGUGGCUCGGUUGGGAUCGAUAGCAAGGAGUCACCAAGGGAGUCAUCGCCAAAACGGGGCAGAACCGGGGCAUUCCGGGUCACCUCAGGGUCAGGGAGGAGCUACCCGGCCAGCGACACGUCUGGGUACUAUGACUUGACCCCGGACUCCUCCAGCGGGGCAUCCGGGGCAAAGACAUUCAAUUUAGAGGAUAUUCCGUACCCUACCAGAGAGAGUGAGAGGCACAGCCCCUCCAACAUGUCCCUCUCCUCCUCCUCCUCUGCCCCACCCACCCCGCCCUGCCCCCCCACCCCAGACACCCUGGAUGCCAUCCCCAUUCCCCCACCCACCCUGGACCUCACCAACAUCCCCAUGCCGCCCGUCACCUUCACCAUCACCCCGCCAGUCCCCAUCCCCAGGCCCAAGAAGGACCCCCUGCCAAGACCCAAGCCCCCGGUCCCCCUUCCUCCCAUGGCAGCUGCCCCACUGCUCCCCUUAUCCGUCCCCUUGCCCUGCCCCACGCCUGCCCACAGGGAGGAGUCCCUACCAGCCUCGCCGCCCCGGGAGGUGCCCCCCAUCGGAGGGGCGCCGGUGUCCCCCGGGGGACAUGACAGCGACGACGACGAGCCCCCGUCCUGCAUCCCCCGGCCCCCGAGCCCCGCCCCACCCACCACCAGCCACACCACCAUAUAGUGUGGUUACAUUAUUGUCAUCAUGAUCAGGCCGCCGCGGGCCGUGGCGCGGCCUUCACCCUGCUCAUGACACAUGAAUCCACGCCGGCCGGGACCUUACGCCUUCGAUGUAUUACUCCCGCAGCCCAGCCCGCCCCUACCACCACAGCCCGCACACCCUAGAGCGCCCCCCACAUGCUGGCCUCUUCCCUGCUUCACGGCCAGGCCAGAUUGCUACUCAGUGCGUGGCGUGGCGGCCUCAGGGCGUGGCAGCCGCCACACCCCCGAGGGGCUCCUCGCCCCCAGACCACUGCCACGGCCCACACACCCCAGAGCGCCCCCACAUGCUGGCGGCUUCCCUGCUUCACCGCCAGGCCAGAUGGCUACUCAGGGUGUGGCGGCUGCCACACCCCCGAGGGCUCCCCGCCCCCAGACCACUGCCAGUACCACAGCCCCGUGGUGCAGUACCACAGCAGCAUCAGUCCUCCCUUCUCCCGCAGCCCCCCGUGGAGCCCCGAUGGGGGGCGCCGCGCCAGCCCCACAGGGUGGCGCAGUCCAUGCUACCAGCACCACCACCACCACCACUACACUGCCCCACCCCGCGACCGCUGGAGCCCCCAGCGCUCCCCACGCUGUGUUACCCUCUCUCUGUUACCCUCUCCCCGGGGCGCCGCUCAUCACCCCCAGACCGCCGUGCCUCCCCGGAGCGGGGCCGCUCACCACCCAGCCGCUCCCCACGCUACUCCCCGCGCCAUUCCCAUUCCCGGGGGGCUGAGGUCCCCCUGCCGCUCCCCCUCCCCACUGGGUGAGGUGUACCCCUACGAGCGGCGGGGCUGGGGCUGCGCAGCCAGGGAGUGGGAGGCUCUCACCACCACCAUCACAGCCCCAAGGCAGAGCAGAGAAAUAGGGAGGGCAAGGGCUAUGGGUACUCUCCCCUGCGGCAGUAUUUGAUGACGACCUCCGGAUCAUGAGCGAGGCAGAGAUGUUCUCCAUGGGGUUCCACAAGGGGGAGAACAGCGAGUCCCCCCACCACCCCCCCCGCUCCCCCUCCCCCAAAACCCUCGAUGCCAAGUCUGUGGGUACUCUCCCAGCCGUGUCACAGCUGAUGAUGAUGAUGCCACCCCCCAGCCUGAGCCACCCUCCACCCACCCCAGCCCUCACCAAGCCUCCUCCAGUAACCACCACCACCACCACCACCACCAGCGACGUAACACCCCACCCCACCCCUCCCCAGACCACAGAUCCCAGACUGUUGGAUGUGACGCCACAAGACACAGGGCUUCGUAACACCAGUGCACGGUGAUCAAGACAACACUGGACCAGAAAGACGCAAAGUACAGGGAACAACACAGUGCUUCUUCAUUUUAGGUGAGCCAGAAUGAGCUUGUUAAACUGAGCGGCCUCUUCAAGUACCACUGGAACUGUUCGUCAGAGGAGGAGGAGGAGGAGGUAAGGGAGUGCGCCAAGACCCUUUACAGCGGUGCAAAGGAGUGGAGGGAGAUGAGGAGAAAUUUGAAAGAGAACAGAAGUAGAAUGACAUCAGAUAGCAGGAGUCCUUAGGAUUUAGCACAAUAAGAUCAAUAAUUCUCUUACAUGAGUGACCUAAAGUAAGGCAGUUUAGUCUGGCCUAACUUAACUGACCUACCUAUUUCUGUUAUGAGCUAGGAUAGGCUAUGUUAGGUUAUAUUAAAUUAUAUAAUUAUUAUUUUUUUCAUCAUUAUUAUUAAAGAAAGGAAAUAGAACCGAGAAAAUAAAGUUAAAAAUUAUUGUUA